ACAUUAUUCACUUCCACAGAAGCAUAUGAUCCGCUAGAUCCAAAUGGAAAUAUAACAAUCAAAUGAGAUGUCAUGGGCUGGAAUCCAGAUGGUUAUAUUGUUGAAAUUAUCUCGAUGCAAAGUUUUGUGGGUUAAUCCAUACAGUGAUAGAAAUUCUCAUCUAGUGGACAGUGAGAAUGAUCUCAUUGAAUUAAUGGGUCCUUGAACUGA
This is a long non-coding RNA of Medicago truncatula (barrel medic), 210 nucleotides long. RefSeq lists it as uncharacterized. The record is from RefSeq and is a predicted model, not a curated record. NCBI's taxonomy places the organism in Eukaryota, Viridiplantae, Streptophyta, Magnoliopsida, Fabales, Fabaceae. The transcript has 3 exons.